ACCGAGGGGGCGAGGAAUACAACACCCGAAAGGGAAAUAACUCCAGCCGUCUUUGUGUGGCUUACGAACCCCUUGGCACCCUAUU
This is a small RNA of 85 nucleotides. It matches the Rfam family "sRNA-Xcc1". The record is from Rfam.